CGUAGGGUGCAAGCGUUAAUCGGAAUUACUGGGCGUAAAGCGUGCGCAGGCGGUUUGUAAGACAGAGGUGAAAUCCCCGGGCUCAACCUGGGAACUGCCUUUGUGACUGCAAGGCUGGAGUGCGGCAGAGGGGGAUGGAAUUCCGCGUGUAGCAGUGAAAUGCGUAGAUAUGCGGAGGAACACCGAUGGCGAAGGCAAUCCCCUGGGCCUGCACUGACGCUCAUGCACGAAAGCGUGGGAGCAAACAGGAUU
This 252-nucleotide ribosomal RNA is filed under the name uncultured bacterium. RNAcentral describes it as "partial 16S ribosomal RNA". It matches the Rfam family "Bacterial small subunit ribosomal RNA", at positions 526 to 779 of the family's 1533-position model. The record is from RNAcentral.